Molecule: ribosomal RNA, 425 nt
Filed under: uncultured bacterium
Lineage: Bacteria
Description: bacterial SSU rRNA
Rfam family: Bacterial small subunit ribosomal RNA
Source: RNAcentral
GUGGGGAAUCUUGGACAAUGGGCGCAAGCCUGAUCCAGCCAUGCCGCGUGAGUGAAGAAGGUCUUCGGAUUGUAAAGCUCUUUUGCCAGGGACGAUAAUGACAGUAGCAGGAGAAUAAGCCCCGGCUAACUCCGUGCCAGCAGCCGCGGUAAUACGAAGGGGGCUAGCGUUGUUCGGAAUUACUGGGCGUAAAGCGCACGUAGGCGGGUCGUUAAGUCAGGGGUGAAAUCCCGGAGCUCAACUCCGGAACUGCCUUUGAUACUGGCGAUCUAGAGAUCGGAAGAGGUGAGUGGAAUUCCCAGUGUAGAGGUGAAAUUCGUAGAUAUUGGGAAGAACACCAGUGGCGAAGGCGGCUCACUGGUCCGAUACUGACGCUGAGGUGCGAAAGCGUGGGGAGCAAACAGGAUUAGAUACCCUAGUAGUCC